GAUGUUCAGCUAAUAGCUGUGUAAAAUUAAAAUAUUCAAAAGGAACUAGGAUAAGAUAAACUCUUCAGAGUUAAAGGCUUUCUAGCAUCUGUAUUUGCCUUUAAUAUUUUUUCUGACUGUGUAGAAGUAGCUUCUGCUUUCCCGACCCUCACAAAAAGCCUUGCCAAAACGUACAGAAACCCACCUCUGGUGUUCUCAUAUUGAACAGAUGAAUACAGAUGAUCUUGCUUUGUGAUUUGAAAUGAGGACUUUGUCUCUCCUUUCCUUCACUUACAAAUGGUAUGAAGACAUUCUCUGUGAUGUCUGUAUGACUGAAGGUAGCAGAAGGAGUAAAACUGGGAAAGUUGAAUACGUUCAAUGCACUUAAAGAAGCCUGGAAGUUAAUGACAUCAUUGGCAGACAGCUCUGGCCUCGUGCAUCUGGAGAUCCAAACAGCCCUGCUUGAUGCUGGCACAUUUUGGUGUGAGUGUCAGGACAUGGUGACCAUGAUGUGCUUGACCAAACUUGGUGCUGACAUUUGGGACCUGAGGAGGUGUCUGAGACCGGUAGAAGGGAGCUGACAUGACACCAGUGCCGCUCCCAGAGGACAUGCUACAACCUCUUGACAUGGAGCUUGCAGUAAGGAAGAACUGAACUCUCUGUACAUCCUGCAGCAGAAGCACCCCAAGCUGCUGCCCACAGCUUUCUUUCUGCUCCCCUCCUGAGGUCUGAGGACUGUUCAAGAAAACAUCCAAUUCCCAAACUUCUGGCGAAUGCUUUUAUCACCCUUCAUUCUCUCUACCAGCUUACUUGCCCUUGAAAUUUGUCCACAGAGAAUGACUAAAAAUUUGCUCAUGAACUUAAAAAAUUGGCAUGAGACUUCCAUGGUUUAUGGGCAUGGUGGUGGUAGGCUAAUGGUUGGACCAUAGGUCUUUUCCAACCUCAAUGAUUCUAUGAUUCAUGCUGCCAACACAAAGACCAACAAAGCUUACUGUGCUUGGAUACUGAAGAAAACUUCUUUUGGAGGAACCAUUUUGAGAAGCACCAUUUUGUUCCUACCCAGGUGGGCCCUUCCAGAGUUCCCAAGCACCCCCUUCCCCAGCUCAGUAAUGGAAAUGUACUGCAAUCAACAUCCCAACGUGUAACCUUAACUUUUUGAAGUGACGAGUCUAAUGCCCUUACACUGACUUCAGCUUCUUUAGAUAAGGGAAGGAAGAAAGCAAAGGAUUAAUAAACCAUCUCCCCCUCCCAUAUGUUGAGAAACUAUGCUAGCACUGACAACAGACUGGCCAAUAUUCAUAAUAAUCUUUUAACUGGAUGGCAAUGAAAGUUUCCACUAGUCUAACUAAGCUUUUGGCUAUUCAUGUGUAUUGUAUGAAAGAAUCCAGAUUUAUCAAUGUCAAUCUGUAAAUUAGCAAUAAUUUCUGGUUUUGCGUUGGAAGAGUGGGGGUCAAGGGAAAAAAACACAGGUUUAAAGGAAGAUGGGAUUGUCUUCCUGCCAUUUUGUCUGUGUUUGAUUUCUUCAGCUCUGCGCUGCCUGGAAAUCAGUCCAAGAUGUUACAACAGAUGUCUGACAGCACUUCAGCUCGCUGCUUGAGAUCCGAGCAGUGCUGAGCUUGAAGUCAGCUGGUGGUAGCACUUGACCCAGGUUCAGUGAGCUCACCCCAGGGCUUACUGAGUGUGCUGUGAUUGCUGGGGAACACUAUCCAAGCAGAUGUUUAGCUGGCAAACUUGCCUCUCUCUGUUGUUCUGUCCCCUGUGAGAACAUGUGAAACACAGGAUGCUGGAUUUUCCUUGGGAGAGAAACAGGGCCGUGGGGAGAAGCGCUGGCUGGUGGUGGUAGCCAAAUGUUCCCACCAGGAAUUCAAACUGUCCCCCUGCACAUCUCAAAGCAAAACUGCAAGAUUUGGUCCACUGCCAGUCCUUCCAAGUUUCCUGCAUGGUCUGGUUUGUGACACGAGCUCUGCAAAAUGUAUUCCAUAUGUUUGUUCCACCAGAAAUCCUAUUGGUUUGUGAUACCGCAACUGAGCUUGCUUGUGGACAUUUGAUCCCUGUCUGGGUAAGAUGAAGAUUCGCUCUACAAGGAAUUUUAAGUCAAAUGUUAGUUCCGCCUCAGCCUGGAUUAUAUAUGUGCUGACAAAAAUAAAUCUGACGUUUUAUUCCUGACUUGAACAAUGUGAGGUUCCUCUUCAGGGAUUCCCGGAUUGUUCUUACCUAGUAAUUAAAUCUUCAUCAUGUUUUUGCCAAAAGCAGUAUGUUCAGCUCCCAAAGGGGGAUUAUUUCUUCUGUAUCCCUCCACUCCCCACACAAGAUCUCCCGGGGUCCAUCUGUACCUCCUCCUCCCUUUUAGCUACACUUGUCUCGUUAGUUGUUCGGCCCUGAUUCUGCAAGCUGAUGCCUGGAUCUGCUGUGCAUGAAAAAUCCCACAUCUAUAUCCUGCCAGGAGGCAUUUUGUUUCGCUCGCUUGGAGUCUAGGACAAGGUUUUCCCUCCCAUGAAUUAUGUGCUUUCUUGGCCAGGAACUACAGAUGCAGAUUUUUCCCGCUGGGGGCUGCCGAGGGGCUCUGGGCAGGAGCUCCAGGGAACUCAGGCUCCCCAUCCACCCCAGAGCUUUGCUGACAGGGUGACAUUGGUUGUAUGGCUUCAGCCCUUGAAACGGCCAGCGUGGAAAACACGCAGGGAGACACAACGGGGUUAGAAGAAAAAUGUUUAUAAUGCCCUGGGCACUUACUGUAUGUACAUAUGGGGUAUACAUAUGCAUAUGUGUAACGUUUGAUCAACAACAGUGAUUGUAGAGGUGUGUCUUGUUAUGAAGUCAAUUCUGUAUACAAUCUGUCCUGGGUUCUGACAUAAUAUUUAUCUUGUCACGAGUUAAGUUCCCAAACCCAAAUCCUUCACUGAUAUUCUGUUAGAAAAUCAUCCCUCCAUGUCCACUGUUUUGGUGUUCAAGUGCCAUAUUACUGUUGUCCCAUUUCUAUAAAUGCUCAUAAUAACAAUGUACUAUUUGUCAGGAAGGUGGAUAGCUAUCUCACUGACUUCCAGCUUCAGCUUCAAAACAGUGGUGUACCACACUAGUGGUUUCAUGAUGCCUUGUUUUGGAUGAAAAGGUGGUUAUAAAAAGCAUAAAUUCAUUCAGCUCUACCCAACAUUUUGUGCACAUAGUUAAACCUAUAGAUGAAUUAUCUGGUAGUGAAUUGCCAAACAGAAAAACAACAACAACAAAACAGCAAACAAAGGUAGAACAGCAAACAGGUUCCAAUCAAAUUUCUCUUCUCAGUUCUUGCUCAGACUACAUUUAUUUGUUCCAAUAAGAAAUCUUUAGAAUUAACAGUGGGUUUUGUCCAUUCUUCUUUUUUUUUUAACUAUGGACAAACUAUGACAAUACACUCUAAUGGAAUGAAAUUUUCUUUUUCAUUCUGGAAAUAUAUCCUGCGCUAUAGGGCUUUUCAAUUUAACAUACAAGCCUUUAUCUUUUCCAGCCAAGAGCAACACUUAUUUUAUAUGUAUACAAAUGUAAUUACAAAUGUUUGUUUCUGUAAGAACUCAUAUUUUUACCUUUUAAAAUGCACAUAAACGUUGCUAGAUAUGAAACCUUUUAGCUUGUAGGGCCGGCAAAUAUGCUCACGCUGCUUUAGCAUUUGCACAGUGAUGUCCUUUGCAUGACUCAAGGACUUAUUCUGCUAUGAAAAUUACAUGCAUUUCCUUGGAGAAACCUUUUAUUUUUCCUUUCUUUCUUGUUUUCCUUUGCAGAAAUAAUCUACAUGAUGGCAAGAAAAAAUUAAGCUACAGUAGAGUCUUGCGAGGAAGAACAUUAGGAUGUGUACCCAUCCUUCUCUUGUUGAUCUUAGAAUACUUGGGGAGAGGAAUUUGGUUUAGUUCUUGUUGCCAGAUGUAUAUGCCCUGCAGAUGCCAGAAGGACCUCUUGGGAACUCCCACGCUCUCAUGAGCAGCUCCUGGUAUUGGUGACUGUGUGCAAUUUAGAGAACUCAUUCACUAAUUCCUUUUGUGCUUCUGACAUGAGUUGGUGAAAACAAACCAAAACAGUGGUUUCCAGUGAUCAAACCAGUGACCAGUGAAGGAAUAGAACUUCUUUUCUGAGUCAAAUGGUCCACAGUACAUGCUAGUGUUCAGCCUUAUGGCCUCAGCCAGAUUAUUUAAGUAAUUAUCAGGCAUGUUGCAAAGAAAAGCUCCCAUGACCAUUCUAAAAGAUCAGAAGCCUCCAAGAUGUGUAGGUGUUUCACAGCCAGUGAUAACUGAUUUUAUAUUUAGCUUCACUGUGAAAAUACUCUUGGAUUUUGUCCACCUGAAGUAACACAACAGUUCAGAUUUGCCUAGUUUGCAGUGUUUAGAACUAUAUUAGAAGCAAUUUGCCUAAUGACCAAUCUGAACCAUUUCCUUCAAUGACUCUUCUGGGGCAAGUCCACUGUAAACAGAGUUGCUGCCUUUGCUUUACCAGUGGUAUCGUCAAACCUCAAACCCCCUUGUACUAAGUAGGGCAUUCAACCACCUCACGUGCCUUUAAAAAUGGAAGUAACAUGACAACACUGGGACUUCCUUAGCUGUGUUCAGUUUUCACUCUGGCUAUCAGUCCUGCUCUAUUUGUCUUCCACCUGCGGACCACCAGUGUCUUCCCCUGGCUCUCAAGUAGUAUCUCCAGUGCUCCCAUCCCAGUACCUUGUCGGGCAGUACUGGCAGCCAGCCAUAAGGAGGGAGUAAGCCUCGCUCCAGACCUGACAAGUGUUGGCUUCCUAUGGCAGCAGAUCCCAUGGGUUACGUGGAGCCAGAGAGAUCCCAUGGGUUAUGUGGAGCCAGAGAGGAUGCAUUUCUGCAUUGGUGGGAGUGUAGGCUGGCAUCUGUCCUGGCUGGUUCACAACUUUGUGCAUCAUGACAAAAUUAAAUGGUACCACAUCAGCGUCUUCCAGGUUCGUGCUAGGGUACCCAAUUGAAGCAUUACAAUUGUUUAGAUGAAAAUAUCUCUAUUCUGUAUUUUAAUAUGCUAAUUCAUACAAUCGAUAGUGAUAUGUUAUAAAAUGGAGGUUGUAUUGUGGUGACUUCAAUGUCACAGGUUAGCCCAAGGAGUUAGAAGUAUUAAUAUGACCAAG
Long non-coding RNA from Gallus gallus (chicken), 5080 nucleotides. Lineage: Eukaryota; Metazoa; Chordata; Aves; Galliformes; Phasianidae. The record is from Ensembl.